This 1032-nucleotide long non-coding RNA is filed under the name Anas platyrhynchos platyrhynchos (common mallard). RNAcentral describes it as "lncRNA (ENSAPLG00000019704.1)". Lineage: Eukaryota; Metazoa; Chordata; Aves; Anseriformes; Anatidae. The record is from RNAcentral.
GACAGGAAAGAUGCAACAACAUUUUUCUUGGCUAAAAACCUGAGCAUUGUAUAGGAACAGAAAUCUAUGUUGUUUUUUUCUUUAGGUCCUAUCCUCCUCUGAUUGGAAGUCAAAGACAACAUUAGUAACUCUGAGAUGGUACCUGAGAACGUUAUUCAUUAAAGUACCCUUUUGUUUUAAGUUUUCAUUAUUCAUGACAAUGACCUUUAGGAGUCAGCAUAGUAAAGGUUUCUUGCCCUUACUCCUGUGAUAGUCUAAUCAAACAUUUCUUGAGGUGUCUUGGAAAAUAGAGAAAUGGUUCUUUUGUUAUCAAUAUUUUACCAACCAUCAGCUAAUACUCUUUAAGGAUGUAUUUUGACCACAUUCUCUAUUCAAGUGGCUUACAGAACUAAGUUGAAACAAUUAUUUAAUAUUACAGGAUGAUGAAGAGGAACUUAAAAUACCCCAGUGCAAUCCAUGCAAGCAGCUGAAUGCUCCUUUUUCUUUUCUUUUCCAGAUAAGUCUCUGUUAAAGACAGCUUUACCUUACCCCUCAGGAAUGUUCUGUUUGAAGCAGACCCAGCUAAUCCGUGAACAGAGAUCAACAAUUAAAGCUCUUGGGCAUUGACUUUUGCUGCGGAAACAGGGAGGCUGAAGCUGAGUAAACAAGAUGAGUAUAUUCACAGCAGCUGGCUGUGUGCUCUACAGAAAUUGGCAAUCACAGUUUGGGGCCAAGCUGAGGCAGAGGAUGUGGAGGGCUUGGAAUCGUGGACCGAGGAGUACUUUUUGCUUAUUUGACAUAAUACCAUAGCAACAAGCUGUUAUGCUGCACAAGCUGGUCUCAUUAGGAGUGUUGUUUGCAUCCUUCCCUUGGAAAGGGGACACAGCACUGCACCCUGUGGCUAAGACUGACACAGGGCAGCUGAAGAACCAGAGAACUGGAGAAUGGUUUGAGAAAGUGUCCUCCUCAUUGCAGUCGAUACCUUCUAGUUCACGUGUUGAAAGGACAGAACCCUGUAGACAGAAGACGGAUUGGCUCACACUGGAUAAAUGA